RNAcentral lists this ribosomal RNA (758 nucleotides) under uncultured bacterium. RNAcentral's name for it is "bacterial SSU rRNA". It matches the Rfam family "Bacterial small subunit ribosomal RNA", at positions 8 to 760 of the family's 1533-position model. The record is from RNAcentral.
AGAGUUUGAUCAUGGCUCAGAUUGAACGCUGGCGGCAGGCCUAACACAUGCAAGUCGAGCGGAUGACGGGAGCUUGCUCCUUGAUUCAGCGGCGGACGGGUGAGUAAUGCCUAGGAAUCUGCCUGGUAGUGGGGGACAACGUUUCGAAAGGAACGCUAAUACCGCAUACGUCCUACGGGAGAAAGCAGGGGACCUUCGGGCCUUGCGCUAUCAGAUGAGCCUAGGUCGGAUUAGCUAGUUGGUGAGGUAAUGGCUCACCAAGGCGACGAUCCGUAACUGGUCUGAGAGGAUGAUCAGUCACACUGGAGCUGAGACACGGUCCAGACUCCUACGGGAGGCAGCAGUGGGGGAUAUUGGACAAUGGGCGAAAGCCUGAUCCAGCCAUGGCCGCGUGUGUGAAGAAGGUCUUCGGAUUGUAAAGCACUUUAAGUUGGGAGGAAGGGCAGUAAGUUAAUACCUUGCUGUUUUGACGUUACCGACAGAAUAAGCACCGGCUAACUCUGUGCCAGCAGCCGCGGUAAUACAGAGGGUGCAAGCGUUAAUCGGAAUUACUGGGCGUAAAGCGCGCGUAGGUGGUUCGUUAAGUUGGAUGUGAAAGCCCCGGGCUCAACCUGGGAACUGCAUCCAAAACUGGCGAGCUAGAGUACGGUAGAGGGUGGUGGAAUUUCCUGUGUAGCGGUGAAAUGCGUAGAUAUAGGAAGGAACACCAGUGGCGAAGGCGACCACCUGGACUGAUACUGACACUGAGGUGCGAAAGC